AUGACUUGUUUGAGCUCAAAGUUUACAAUUGCUGGCUGGAACUGGGGUUGAUGGAAAAGCUGGAACAAGACUUUAUUGGAUUUUUUGGUUAGGUUCUUAUUUUGGCAAGGACAAAUCAUUGGAGUUCAUGCAACUCUGGAUCGGUUCAAGGUUGAUAGAAUAUACCUAAUGAGAAAGUUAGUAUUGUAGUAACGGCACUUUCUAAUUUCAUUGUGCAGUUGGUUCUCUUUAGAACGGAUCUUAGUCUGUAUACAUAUUGGAUUAGUGUAUUUUGGUGAAUAAUAUAUUCUUUUUAGCGCUUUUAAG
Molecule: long non-coding RNA, 306 nt
Filed under: Rosa chinensis
Lineage: Eukaryota; Viridiplantae; Streptophyta; Magnoliopsida; Rosales; Rosaceae
Description: sRNA RchiOBHm_Chr4g0402681
Source: RNAcentral